CCUACGGGAGGCAGCAGUGGGGAAUAUUGCACAAUGGGGGAAACCCUGAUGCAGCGAUGCCGCGUGGAGGAAGAAGGUUUUCGGAUUGUAAACUCCUGUCGAAGAGGACGAUAAUGACGGUACUCUUCAAGAAAGCUCCGGCUAACUACGUGCCAGCAGC
Molecule: ribosomal RNA, 160 nt
Filed under: uncultured bacterium
Lineage: Bacteria
Description: partial 16S ribosomal RNA
Rfam family: Bacterial small subunit ribosomal RNA
Source: RNAcentral